RNAcentral lists this ribosomal RNA (465 nucleotides) under uncultured bacterium. RNAcentral describes it as "bacterial SSU rRNA". It matches the Rfam family "Bacterial small subunit ribosomal RNA", at positions 338 to 795 of the family's 1533-position model. The record is from RNAcentral.
CCUACGGGUCGCACCAGUAGGAAACCUUCGGCAAUGGACGAAAGUCUGACCGAGCAACGCCGCGUGAGUGAAGAAGGUUUUCGGAUCGUAAAACUCUGUUGUUAGAGAAGAACAAGGACGUUAGUAACUGAACGUCCCCUGACGGUAUCUAACCAGAAAGCCACGGCUAACUACGUGCCAGCAGCCGCGGUAAUACGUAGGUGGCAAGCGUUGUCCGGAUUUAUUGGGCGUAAAGCGAGCGCAGGCGGUUUCUUAAGUCUGAUGUGAAAGCCCCCGGCUCAACCGGGGAGGGUCAUUGGAAACUGGGAGACUUGAGUGCAGAAGAGGAGAGUGGAAUUCCAUGUGUAGCGGUGAGAUGCGUAGAUAUAUGGAGGAACACCAGUGGCGAAGGCGGCUCUCUGGUCUGUAACUGACGCUGAGGCCCGAAAGCGUGGGGAGCAAACAGGAUUAGAUACCCGGGUAGUC